This 253-nucleotide ribosomal RNA is filed under the name uncultured bacterium. Its description in RNAcentral is "partial 16S ribosomal RNA". It matches the Rfam family "Bacterial small subunit ribosomal RNA", at positions 524 to 776 of the family's 1533-position model. The record is from RNAcentral.
UACGAAGGGGGCUAGCGUCGCUCGGAAUUACUGGGCGUAAAGGGCGCGUAGGCGGAUGUUUAAGUCAGAGGUGAAAGCCCAGGGCUCAACCUUGGAACUGCCUUUGAUACUGGGCAUCUUGAGUAUGGGAGAGGUGAGUGGAACUCCGAGUGUAGAGGUGAAAUUCGUAGAUAUUCGGAAGAACACCAGUGGCGAAGGCGACUCACUGGCCCAUUACUGACGCUGAGGCGCGAAAGCGUGGGGAGCAAACAGG